AGUGAACGCUGGCGGUAGGCCUAACACAUGCAAGUCGAACGGCAGCACAGUAAGAGCUUGCUCUUACGGGUGGCGAGUGGCGGACGGGUGAGGAAUACAUCGGAAUCUACUUUUUCGUGGGGGAUAACGUAGGGAAACUUACGCUAAUACCGCAUACGACCUACGGGUGAAAGCAGGGGAUCUCCGGACCUUGCGCGAUUGAAUGAGCCGAUGUCGGAUUAGCUAGUUGGCGGGGUAAAGGCCCACCAAGGCGACGAUCCGUAGCUGGUCUGAGAGGAUGAUCAGCCACACUGGAACUGAGACACGGUCCAGACUCCUACGGGAGGCAGCAGUGGGGAAUAUUGGACAAAGGGCGCAAGCCUGAUCCAGCCAUACCGCGUGGGUGAAGAAGGCCUUCGGGUUGUAAAGCCCUUUUGUUGGGAAAGAAAAGCAGCAGGUUAAUACCCCGCUGUUCUGACGGUACCCAAAGAAUAGGCACCGGCUAACUUCGUG
Molecule: ribosomal RNA, 492 nt
Filed under: uncultured bacterium
Lineage: Bacteria
Description: partial 16S ribosomal RNA
Rfam family: Bacterial small subunit ribosomal RNA
Source: RNAcentral